RNAcentral lists this ribosomal RNA (491 nucleotides) under uncultured bacterium. RNAcentral's name for it is "partial 16S ribosomal RNA". It matches the Rfam family "Bacterial small subunit ribosomal RNA", at positions 28 to 507 of the family's 1533-position model. The record is from RNAcentral.
GAUGAACGCUGGCUACAGGCUUAACACAUGCAAGUCGAGGGGAAACGACGGGGAAGCUUGCUUCCCCGGGUGUCGACCGGCGCACGGGUGAGUAACGCGUAUCCAACCUGCCUCUGACUGAGGGAUAACCCGUCGAAAGUCGGCCUAAUACCUCAUGGCAUCGUCUGCGGGCAUCCAACGACGAUUAAAGAUUUCAUCGGUCAGAGAUGGGGAUGCGUCUGAUUAGCUUGUUGGCGGGGUAACGGCCCACCAAGGCGACGAUCAGUAGGGGUUCUGAGAGGAAGGUCCCCCACAUUGGAACUGAGACACGGUCCAAACUCCUACGGGAGGCAGCAGUGAGGAAUAUUGGUCAAUGGGCGAGAGCCUGAACCAGCCAAGUAGCGUGCAGGAUGACGGCCCUAUGGGUUGUAAACUGCUUUUAUGCGGGGAUAAAGUGAGGGACGUGUCCUUCAUUGCAGGUACCGCAUGAAUAAGGACCGGCUAAUUCCGUG